GUCUACGGCCAUGCCACCCUGAACGCGCCGGAUCUCAUCUGAUCUCAGAAGCUAAGCCGGGUCGGGCUUGGUUAGUACUUGGAUGGGAGACCACCGAGGAAGACCGGGUGCUGUAGGUG
RNAcentral lists this ribosomal RNA (119 nucleotides) under Pteropus alecto (black flying fox). The record is from RNAcentral. Lineage: Eukaryota; Metazoa; Chordata; Mammalia; Chiroptera; Pteropodidae.